This 497-nucleotide ribosomal RNA is filed under the name uncultured bacterium. RNAcentral's name for it is "partial 16S ribosomal RNA". It matches the Rfam family "Bacterial small subunit ribosomal RNA", at positions 28 to 507 of the family's 1533-position model. The record is from RNAcentral.
GAUGAACGCUGGCGGCGUGCCUAAUACAUGCAAGUCGAGCGAACAGACGAGGAGCUUGCUCCUCUGACGUUAGCGGCGGACGGGCGAGUAACACGUGGAUAACCUACCUAUAAGACUGGGAUAACUUCGGGAAACCGGAGCUAAUACCGGAUAAUAUAUUGAACCGCAUGGUUCAAUAGUGAAAGACGGUUUUGCUGUCACUUAUAGAUGGAUCCGCGCCGCAUUAGCUAGUUGGUACGGUAACGGCUUACCAAGGCGACGAUGCGUAGCCGACCUGAGAGGGUGAUCGCCCACACUGGAACUGAGACACGGUCCAGACUCCUACGGGAGGCAGCAGUAGGGGAUCUUCCGCAAUGGGCGAAAGCCUGACGGAGCAACGCCGCGUGAGUGAUGAAGGUCUUCGGAUCGUAAAACUCUGUUAUUAGGGAAGAACAAAUGUGUAAGUAACUAUGCACGUCUUGACGGUACCUAAUCAGAAAGCCACGGCUAACUACGUG